This 631-nucleotide ribosomal RNA is filed under the name Holtermanniella sp. F1. Its description in RNAcentral is "eukaryotic LSU rRNA". It matches the Rfam family "Eukaryotic large subunit ribosomal RNA", at positions 37 to 656 of the family's 3401-position model. The record is from RNAcentral. Lineage: Eukaryota; Fungi; Basidiomycota; Tremellomycetes; Holtermanniales.
UGCAUAUCAAAAGCGGAGGAAAAGAAACUAACAAGGAUUCCCCUAGUAACGGCGAGUGAAGCGGGAUGAGCUCAAAUUUGUAAUCUGGUGGACUCAGUUCAUCCGAAUUGUAAUCUAUAGAAAAGUUUUCCGCGCUGGACCGUGUCUAAGUCCCUUGGAACAGGGUGUCAGAGAGGGUGAGAAUCCCGUGCUUGAUACGACCACCAUUGCUAUGUGAUACUUUUUCAACGAGUCGAGUUGUUUGGGAAUGCAGCUCAAAAUGGGUGGUAAAUUCCAUCUAAAGCUAAAUAUUGGCGAGAGACCGAUAGCGAACAAGUACCGUGAGGGAAAGAUGAAAAGCACUUUGGAAAGAGAGUUAAACAGUACGUGAAAUUGUUAAAAGGGAAACGAUUGAAGUCAGUCGUGCUCUCUAGGACUCAGCCAGUUCUUCUGGUGUAUUUCCUAGUGAGCGGGUCAACAUCAGUUUAGAUCGCUGGAUAAGGUCAUUAGGAAUGUGGCUCCCUCGGGAGUGUUAUAGCCUAGUGUCGCAUACAGUGGUUUAGACUGAGGAACGCAGCUCGCCUUUAUGGCCGGGGUUCGCCCACGUCCGAGCUUAGGAUGUUGACAUAAUGGCUUUAAACGACCCGUCUUG